This 500-nucleotide ribosomal RNA is filed under the name uncultured bacterium. RNAcentral describes it as "partial 16S ribosomal RNA". It matches the Rfam family "Bacterial small subunit ribosomal RNA", at positions 29 to 523 of the family's 1533-position model. The record is from RNAcentral.
AUUGAACGCUGGCGGCAUGCCUUACACAUGCAAGUCGAGCGGCAGCGCGGGGGCAACCCUGGCGGCGAGCGGCGAACGGGUGAGUAAUACAUCGGAACGUGUCCAGUAGUGGGGGAUAACCAGUCGAAAGAUUGGCUAAUACCGCAUACGAUCUACGGAUGAAAGCGGGGGACCGCAAGGCCUCGCGCUAUUCGAGCGGCCGACGUCGGAUUAGCUAGUUGGCGGGGUAAAAGCCCACCAAGGCGACGAUCCGUAGCUGGUCUGAGAGGACGAUCAGCCACACUGGAACUGAGACACGGUCCAGACUCCUACGGGAGGCAGCAGUGGGGAAUUUUGGACAAUGGGGGCAACCCUGAUCCAGCCAUGCCGCGUGAGUGAAGAAGGCCUUCGGGUUGUAAAGCUCUUUCGGCGGGGACGAAACGGUUUGCGCCAACACCGCAAACUAAUGACGGUACUCGCAGAAGAAGCACCGGCUAACUACGUGCCAGCCGCCGCAGUAA